CUCGUAGGCGGCUUCCUAAGUCAGUGGUGAAAACCUGUGGCUCAACCACAGGCCUGCCCCUGAAACUGGGAAGCUUGAGGCUGUGAGGGGAGAGGGGAAUUCCUGGUGUAUCGGUGAAAUGAGUUGAUAUCAGGAGGAACACCCGUGGCGAAGGCGCCUCUCUGGCACAGUACUGACGCUGAGGAGCGAAAGCGUGGGAGCAAACA
This 206-nucleotide ribosomal RNA is filed under the name uncultured bacterium. RNAcentral's name for it is "partial 16S ribosomal RNA". It matches the Rfam family "Bacterial small subunit ribosomal RNA", at positions 568 to 774 of the family's 1533-position model. The record is from RNAcentral.